Long non-coding RNA from Passer domesticus (house sparrow), 449 nucleotides. RefSeq lists it as uncharacterized. The record is from RefSeq and is a predicted model, not a curated record. The transcript has 3 exons. NCBI's taxonomy places the organism in Eukaryota, Metazoa, Chordata, Aves, Passeriformes, Passeridae.
UCUGCAAGGAAGCAGCAGGAGGAGGGAGCGGCUGCUGUGGCCAAGAGUGGAUUUCUUUAAGGCAUAAUCCUAAACUUGCAUCUUCUGUCUUUCAGAGGCGACCUCAACGCAAAGUUUGAAUGGCAAAUGCUCCCCUUGCAGCAAUUUCUAUUUGUUUUUCAGCCUCAAGGAAGGACUGAACCCUCCUGAGGCAAGCAUCAGGAGAGCUUGAAAUGUAAAACACAUUCCUAUGUGACGAUGAAAGAAAAAUCACUUAGAAGAAGACAAGGAGAAAUUGAAGUUACUCACUCAAACAGGUAUUCUGGAAUACAUGUGGUAAAGCCUCCCUGCCUGACAAAACUGGAUAGAGCAAGAACUCUUAGGGGUCCUGGUGAAAAUAAUGCUGGAUAUUCUCAGCAGAAAAUUCUAACAUUAAUUUAAAACCCAAAAGGCCAAAUGGCCCAGUGGCA